RNAcentral lists this ribosomal RNA (861 nucleotides) under Staphylococcus equorum. RNAcentral describes it as "bacterial SSU rRNA". It matches the Rfam family "Bacterial small subunit ribosomal RNA", at positions 61 to 904 of the family's 1533-position model. The record is from RNAcentral. Lineage: Bacteria; Bacillati; Bacillota; Bacilli; Caryophanales; Staphylococcaceae.
GUCGAGCGAACGGAUAAGGAGCUUGCUCCUUUGAAGUUAGCGGCGGACGGGUGAGUAACACGUGGGUAACCUACCUAUAAGACUGGAAUAACUUCGGGAAACCGGAGCUAAUGCCGGAUAACAUUUGGAACCGCAUGGUUCUAAAGUAAAAGAUGGUUUUGCUAUCACUUAUAGAUGGACCCGCGCCGUAUUAGCUAGUUGGUAAGGUAACGGCUUACCAAGGCAACGAUACGUAGCCGACCUGAGAGGGUGAUCGGCCACACUGGAACUGAGACACGGUCCAGACUCCUACGGGAGGCAGCAGUAGGGAAUCUUCCGCAAUGGACGAAAGUCUGACGGAGCAACGCCGCGUGAGUGAUGAAGGUUUUCGGAUCGUAAAACUCUGUUAUUAGGGAAGAACAAAUGUGUAAGUAACUGUGCACAUCUUGACGGUACCUAAUCAGAAAGCCACGGCUAACUACGUGCCAGCAGCCGCGGUAAUACGUAGGUGGCAAGCGUUAUCCGGAAUUAUUGGGCGUAAAGCGCGCGUAGGCGGUUUCUUAAGUCUGAUGUGAAAGCCCACGGCUCAACCGUGGAGGGUCAUUGGAAACUGGGAAACUUGAGUACAGAAGAGGAAAGUGGAAUUCCAUGUGUAGCGGUGAAAUGCGCAGAGAUAUGGAGGAACACCAGUGGCGAAGGCGACUUUCUGGUCUGUAACUGACGCUGAUGUGCGAAAGCGUGGGGAUCAAACAGGAUUAGAUACCCUGGUAGUCCACGCCGUAAACGAUGAGUGCUAAGUGUUAGGGGUUUCCGCCCCUUAGUGCUGCAGCUAACGCAUUAAGCACUCCGCCUGGGGAGUACGACCGCAAGGUUGAAACUCAA